RNAcentral lists this ribosomal RNA (282 nucleotides) under Pseudoalteromonas sp. RNAcentral's name for it is "partial 16S ribosomal RNA". It matches the Rfam family "Bacterial small subunit ribosomal RNA", at positions 1 to 277 of the family's 1533-position model. Lineage: Bacteria; Pseudomonadati; Pseudomonadota; Gammaproteobacteria; Alteromonadales; Pseudoalteromonadaceae. The record is from RNAcentral.
UUUAAUUGAAGAGUUUGAUCAUGGCUCAGAUUGAACGCUGGCGGCAGGCCUAACACAUGCAAGUCGAGCGGAAACGAAGAGGUGCUUGCACCUCUGGCGUCGAGCGGCGGACGGGUGAGUAAUGCUUGGGAAUAUGCCUUAUGGUGGGGGACAACAGUUGGAAACGACUGCUAAUACCGCAUAAUGUCUACGGACCAAAGUGGGGGACCUUCGGGCCUCACGCCAUAAGAUUAGCCCAAGUGGGAUUAGCUAGUUGGUGAGGUAAUGGCUCACCAAGGCGAC